CAAUAAGCGGAGGAAAAGAAACCAACAGGGAUUGCCCUAGUAACGGCGAGUGAAGCGGCAACAGCUCAAAUUUAAAAUCUGGCUACUUUGGGUAGUCCGAGUUGUAAUUUGUAGAGGAUGCUUUUGGUGAGGUGCUUUCUGAGUUCCCUGGAACGGGACGCCAAAGAGGGUGAGAGCCCCGUACAGUCAGAUACCAACCCUUUGUAUAGCUCCUUCGACGAGUCGAGUAGUUUGGGAAUGCUGCUCUAAAUGGGAGGUAUAUCUCUUCUAAAGCUAAAUAUAGGCUAGAGACCGAUAGCGCACAAGUAGAGUGAUCGAAAGAUGAAAAGCACUUUGAAAAGAGAGUUAAACAGCACGUGAAAUUGUUGAAAGGGAAGCGCCUAUGACCAGACUUGUUUCUAUCAGUUUUGGUAGUUUUCGGACUGCUUUACUCUGUUAGUACAGGCCAACAUCAGUUUGUUGUCGGGGAGAAAGGCUGAGGGAAUGUGGCUCUUUUUUAAAGAGUGUUAUAGCCCUCUGCAUAAUACCCUUCGGCAGACUGAGGACCGCGCUUCGGCAAGGAUGUUGGCGUAAUGG
RNAcentral lists this ribosomal RNA (576 nucleotides) under Wolfgangiella madagascarensis. RNAcentral describes it as "eukaryotic LSU rRNA". It matches the Rfam family "Eukaryotic large subunit ribosomal RNA", at positions 44 to 637 of the family's 3401-position model. Lineage: Eukaryota; Fungi; Ascomycota; Sordariomycetes; Microascales; Ceratocystidaceae. RNAcentral also lists the same sequence under 1 other name. The record is from RNAcentral.